AAGUGCUCACCGUGAGCGGCUGGUACCUGUCCCCUGGGAACUGCAAGAUGCACAGGACCUUGUGUACCUGUUUGUGAUCACAGCCGAGGACCAGCGAGGUAGCAUUACCACAUCCACACAGGGCUUUUACCAUAACUGGUGAGUCCCUGCCAGCCUACCAGGGGCACCCACUCAGGGACCACCCUCUUCUUGUAGGUCUCCAGCCUGUCACUUCAACCCCAAGCCCACCAGCCCCCGCUUCCUAAGCAAUUCGCAGGGGAGCUGCUCUGCCAGAUCUGACUGCCUUUUACAGAACAUUGUGCCCUGCGUCAGGGGAAGGGGAGUGCCUUUGCCCCGUCUGCUCCUGCCCCGCUUCAUGUCACACAGGGGUCUGGGAUGAUUUGGCUAGCCCAAACUCAGUGCUUCUGCCCAAAGAAAUUGUCCCCGGGCCCCCAGUGCCCAAGUCUCCCUCUAGGGAGCUGUGAACCAGCUCUGGCUAGAGCAGCCGUGAAGCAGCGCCCAUGUGCUUCUGACUCGCCUUUCAGGGCAGCAUCUCAGGGCCAGGAGAACCCAGAGCAGGUGAGGGCCUCGAUGAAGAAGGAGCCUGUGGCAGCGUCCUGAGAUUGGUGGGUGGCCCCAUCUGCCUUUCCCCUGCCUGCCUUGAGGUCCAGUACCACCCAUUCGAGAGGGGGCCACCUCAUUCCAGGUGUGCAGCUGGAUGGCCCCUGUGACGGAGUACACUGUGGACUGCAGUGUGGAGAGGCAUCUGCACCUCAAGGCUGGGCUGUGAGGAGCACAUUCCUGCAUAGGGGCCUGUAGCCUGGCCCGGUCCUCAGUGGGAACCCCCUUCCUUCCUGGGUGCCAGCCCCAGUACUGGAACGAGGAGCUGCAGAUGAUGAGGGACCUACCCAACAAGAACCAACCUGAGCAGCUGCUUCAAGAAAAAGCCAUGUUCAAGGUGCCUGAAUCCCCUGGUAAGUGAGUGACAGCCUCACAGCCUCAGGCCCACCUGGCUCCUGCUGGAAGGUUUUCUUGUGCUCGGGAGAGAAGUGAGGGAAGCCGGCAGUCCCAGCCCUGUCAGGUGCCCUGAAGGCCCGUCAGGUUUGCCCUGCAAGGCCUUCUAGCAUUCUGCUUCCUGGGAGACCAUCCCCCACCUUUCUCCGGCCUCUGAGACUUUGAGUCCUUGGGAGGAGAAGGCCCUCCUUGCUAUCUGGGCUGAGUGGCCAGGGCCAUCCAGCUUCCCACCCUCCACUGACUGCCAUGGGGCCCUCCCCUGAGCACAUGGUGCCCAACUGUAGCCCUUCUAGGGCAGGGGCUCAUUGGCAGCACUUGCAGCUUGCUGGCACUUAAAAGUCAUUAGUGC
This 1342-nucleotide long non-coding RNA is filed under the name Homo sapiens (human). RNAcentral describes it as "non-protein coding lnc-ZNF720-1:10". The record is from RNAcentral. Lineage: Eukaryota; Metazoa; Chordata; Mammalia; Primates; Hominidae.